Molecule: non-coding RNA, 6496 nt
Organism: Xyrichtys novacula (pearly razorfish)
Lineage: Eukaryota; Metazoa; Chordata; Actinopteri; Labriformes; Labridae
Source: the annotation of a GenBank genome assembly
UGCUUUGAGAGGCAGAUGAUGCCUCUGUGUCUGAUUGUGAACUGGACACAGAGGCGUCUUUUGGCUCCUCUGUUACUGUGUUUCAGUGUUGUAACUUUAAAUGAAGCUUCACUUUCCAUGGUAUGUGGCUGAAAAACAUUAUCUUCACAGGAGUUGUCAAUAUUCUAUAAGUCACGUAAUCAUGGCACCACUGCUGUGAUGGUAAUAGUACCAUGAAAGCUUUUGACCCAGUAGCAACAUAGCUGACAUGCAUUUUCUCUAACAGCAUAGCAAAGCAAUUGCAGCCCUGCUGACUCUAGACCUGCUGUGUUGCUGAUUGAAGAGGACUUUUUUCAAUGUUGCAGUGUUUCAAUUUUAUACAAGGCUGUUAUCCCUGCUCUAAACUUUUCCAAAGUGUUACAUUAAAGAUGUGGUUGUGAAACAUUCACUCACAAGUGCUGCAGAGCUAACAUGAGGCAGAGUGGCUGAUGCAGUAUAAUGGUUUUGUAACCAAACUUUAUACAUGGUUAUUAACUUACUCUUUUUAACUCUAAAACACUAAUUCCACCAUCUUUCAUGACCCUGAAGUAAUUAAUCCAUCCUCCACACACAGAACACACUCCUGUUUCUUUCUCUUGUUUCAUUCCUGAAUGGUAGAUGAUUAAAAUACACACAGAAACAAGCUUGUAACCUUAUUGCAGUAUGGUCUGAGCUUGCACACAAAGUGAGAUGCAUGAAGUACAUUUUAGACUCCAUUUAUACAACACUUCUCUUGGAGUUGAUGAUCAUGCAAUCAAAAGGAGGUGGGAAGUGGAACAUCCUGCCUGUUUCUCCAGGCUAUGAAGUAUGAAUCUUCCUCCCUUUGUUUGGGCGGCAGUAGCUCAGGAGGUAGAGUGGUCGUCCAAUAACUGGAAGGUUGGCAGUUUGAUUCCCCCCUAUCCCAAGUCUGUCCGUUGUGUUCUUGGGCAAGACACUUAACCCACCUUGCUCCCAGUGUGUGUCCUCCACUGGUGUAUGAUUGUGAGUGUUGUGUGGUGGUGGUCGGAGAGGCCGUAGGCGCAAAAUGGCAGCCACGUUUCUGUCAGUCUGCCCCAGGGCAGCUGAGACUACUAAGGUAGUUUACCACCACCAAGGUGUGACUGUGUGAGUGAAUGAAUGAUGUAUCCAAUGCAAAACACUUUGAGGGUCUCUGAUAAAACACUAUAUGAAAUCUGAUGCAUUAUUAUUUGUUGUCUACCAAACUUCUUAGUGUCCUCUUCCAUUCAUAAUUAUUCCAGUUUUUUGUAAACAAUGUAAGAGCCGUUGUGUAGUUCUGUGCUUGUGUGGAAUAAAUUCCCAACAAAGUAAUACUGGAUCUUUAUGCAAAAUUUUAUACACAUGUGGAGAGAUGGAGACGAUGGCAAUUUUACUGCAGUGAUGGGAAGAACAGUUCUUUUGACUGUACUGAAUCUUUAGAAUCUGUUCAUUAAAAUGAUUUGUUCACUGAAUUAGUCAGUGCUUUGGAGCCCCAGCCUGCCGGUGCAGUACGCAAGUGAGUGCCACAGCCGCGAGUUAGUUCAUUGAACAAGCCCCAGCUGCUGAAGUCAAAGCAUAUUUCAUUGGGUGACACAUGUCGUUCAUUUGCCAAGUCCUGAAGAAAGAAUCACUCCCCUGCCCUGAAAAAUUCACCUCUCUGUGUGUCACCAUCAGCAGAAACAACAUGGCAGCAAUCAGCACGCCUGCUAAACGAGCGCAAGUCGCCAUUCUUGUAUAUCGCGGAACAGUGGAAGGAUUAAAAAUAAAUGAACAUUGCAGCUGUAGCGGGGAUUCUGCUACUUUUAAUGAUAUCAAACAGCGUAUUUCUUUAAAUCAGCUGAAAUUAAAUCCCUCUUGCAGGAAAGUUUAUUCACAUGUAUCAAUGUAAAGGCACUAUAAUGCUCUGUUUUGUCUUAGCCUCAGUGAAUUAACUGGUGCUCGGCAGUAGGUGAACGACCCCGCAGGUUCGGACACCACAGGGCGAGACAUCUCAAAUCAAAUAAAUAUUAUUGUACAAAAUAUUUCAAAAGCGAAUAUAAACCAACAAAAUCACACACCAAUUAACAAGUAAUAAAAUGUACAAUUUGGGCAAAGGAGGGUGAAACCAGGCUAGGGCUUACCACUGUUUUUUAAAAGUGGCUUUUUUUUGCCACUCUCCCAGUUUUGACUGGUGAAGAACCCGGGCAAUAGUUAGGUUUUUGUACAGUCUCUCCCACCUCGGCCACUGAAGCUUUUAUCUCCUUCAGGGCACUCGCAGGUGUCUUGGUGGCCUCCUUCACCAGUCUCCUUCUUACCUGGCCACUCAGCUUGGGAGGACGGCUACCUCUGGGCAGAUCUACACAGGUGCCGUAUUCCUUUCAUUUCUUUAUGAUGGAUUUAACUGAACUCUGGGGGAUGUUCAGUGAGUUGCUCAUUUUUUUUGCAGCCAUCCCCUGACUUCCACUUAUCAAUAAUCUUCUCUCUGAGUUGCUUUGAGUAUUCUUCUGUCUUGUUGUGCGAUUUUAGCAGGAACACUGAUGAACCAGAUAAUGGCCCUCCCAAACACAGGUAUCUUGAUACAACAGCCACUAACAACACACUUACUGCAUUUGGGUGAUCUCCAUUUCACUUAUUGUGAGACUACCAGCAUUCAUAAGCUGGGCAUCAGCUGAAUAAGGUCCAUCACCUUAAAGAGGGUGAAUAUUUAUGUAAUCAAUUUUUUCUAAAAUUUUCUAAACGUUUCGAUUAAUUGACAUCACUUUAUAAAAAUCAGUUUUUACUUUGACAUGAAAGAGUUGUUUUCUUUUUUUGUUAAUUCUUGAAAAUAAAAUUACAUUGGCCAUGAAUUUAUUUAGAAAAGCAAUAAAGGAGAAAACAUCUAAGGGAGGUGAAUACUUUUUAUAGGCAGUGUAGCAAUGAUGACUAUUUUUAGUGACAAUGGCAUAAACAUCUCAAAACAUGACUUGAUGUCACUGAUGUCACAGCUGCCCUGCCAUGAACAUCAUGAGGUACUGAGCUCCAACAGGUCUUACCAUUUUUGGACUUGACUAUUUCAGCGGGAGCAGCUUCACCACCUGUGACCUCUCCAUCAGACUCAUCAGAGAUGUCUGUUUCUUCUGGAUGAUACUCUACAUUAUCUUCCUCUUCAGACACCUGCUCAUCAAUGUCGCUAUACUGCUCUGUGUCUUAUUCCUCAUUUUCACCAAAAAUAUUAUCCAAAACUUGGCCCACAGUAAAUCUUUAAUCCUCUUCUCAUUUUUGCACAAUCCUAUAUAAUCCUAUUUUUCAAACUGGGUCGACAGCGACCCUAACAAAACAAGUGCCAUAAUUUCAAUUAGAGCAUUUUAUAAUUUAGUCAACUUUUUUUUUUUUUAAUUUUUUUUUUUAAAUGGAGGUUCCUGACAAAGUAAAAAAGUCAAGUUAACACAAACAAUUAGGUGGUUCUUUUAUGCAUUAAAAUAAAAAAUGGGUCGGUGCCGACCCUAAGACAGGAGGAAGAUUAAAGCCUGGCUCUACCAGCACUCCAUCUUGCCCAGUCUUGUGGGGUCACUGGAGAGUUUAAGGUGGCAUGCGCAAGAGAAGCCCUACAGUACAGAGAUUCCAGGGACUGCAAGGUGUGAUCAGGCGGGAUUGAAGUGAGGACAGGAAGGAAGUGAAAGGCAACAAAGGCAGUGGAGGUGGCAGAGUCACGCCUAAGGCAAAGACACUGUUGAGGGUCUUAGCAAUAGGAAGAGCAGGUCUGGGCUCCAUCCCCAAGAGCCAAGUCAGCCAGGCCCGGGGCAAACAGAGACACCACCUACUCUAGAACGAAGUUCGAGCAGGCUUGGAUGAAGUGCUGAGCUGUCCGCCACAGCUCAGCAAACCUCCAUGUGUGGGGGAAGAGUGAGACACCUUCCUAUCCCCUUUGCUCUGUUAGAGUCUCCUCGGAACAUCGUCUCGGCAGCUGCCCAAAGGCCCUGACUGCUAGUCCCUAUCGCUGGCACCAUGACCAGGUAGUAAAAGCAGUUGCUGAGAGCAUAGACUCAGCCAUCAGCACCAGCAAACACCAUCGUGCACCCAAGAAGGCAAUCCCCUUCAUUAAAGGUAGAGAGAGACCCCAGGCAUGCCCACAGACAACAACAACAGUCCUCCUCCAUACAGCCCCUGAUUGGCAGCUGUGAGCUGACCUGGGAAAACAUCUCUCCGGCCAUGAUCAUUAUCUCUGAAGCUUCAAAACGCCUGAUCAUACUGGAACUUACUGUGCCCUGGGAAGAGCGGGUUAAAAAAGCCAACAAAAGGAAACACGUUAAGUACCAGGAACUGGUGGAAGACUGCAGAGGCAGGGGCUGGAGGACAUUCUAUGAACCCACAGAGGUUGGCUGUAGAGGCUUUGCAGGACACUCUCUGGAAAGUGUUGGGCCGUUUGGGCGUCAAAGGGGUGGCCAAGAAGAGGGCCAUCCAAUCAACAAGUGAUGCUGCAGAGGAAGCCACGUGGUGGCUUUGGCUGAAAAGGGCAGAUCCGUGGGUUGCUGGGACACGAGCUGGGACUUAAUCACCCUGGUUGGGUCACCUGGGCAGGGAUGUCUGAUGUUGCGAGACCCAAAACACCCAAUGACCUCAGGAUACAACAUUACUGAAGAUGUGUCCCAGCGCAUCCAGGAGAUGUCUCUUUAAAGCACUUUAAACACAAUUCAAACACAAUUCAAGAUUGAAAUCAAAACAAAUACAAAUAAGAUGAAUGAUGAGAGAAAAUGAGACAAUUACAUAGAGAAAACAGGAUAUGCAGAGGAGCACACCAAUAGUAAUAAAAUGUGUAUAAUUAAAACAGUAAAAAAAGACAUAAAAUUAAGUUAAAACAUAAAAAAAAUCAAAUAUAUAUAGUUUAAAUGAUAAAAAGAUAAUUAGUUACUUUUAAAUAAAAUCACUAAUCCAUCAAUAAAAAGAGUAAUUAAAUGACGAGCUGAGGGAGGAAUUGUUUUAUUAAGUCGCUUGUUAAAGCUUGAAAUAAUGUGGAGUCCAGAUGAGCAAAAACUGGACUGGCUGUUUAAUUGAUUCAAGCUUUUUAAUUUUGUCUCCAAAGUCCGGAUAAGAAGAAAAGACUGCACCUUUGAUUAGUGUAUGUAUCAGUGCUUCAUUUUCUGUCCUAUGAUACUUACCUGUUAUGUGAUCUGACCCUGGAUUGUGCAGUGAAAAAAAUAACUCAUCAGAUUUACUUAAAAAUAAAUUUUAAGUAUUUGCACACAAAUGAUGCAAGUUAAAUUUAAUGCUGCAGUAUCAAGUAAUAUUCACUUGCCAGUAUCAAAGAAAAUUUUACUUUACAUAAAACACAACAGUUAUGAAGAUAUUAAGUAAUAUUUACUUAAUUACAUCCAAGUUUUAAAUUAUAAUUAUUGAAACAAAUUAAGUAAAGUCUACUUGUUUUUUAUAUGCAGAAACCUAAUUUUGCUCAAAAUGUUAAGUACAUUUGAUAUCUCUGUACUAUUUGCUGUCAAAAAGUAAUUAAGUAGAUAUUAUUUAUUUUCUUGUGUUUGACAUUUUAAUUCAAUUGGUUGAUCAGAUUUUAGAUAGCGCUUUACCAGUGCCCCUGAAAGUGCUUUAUAUCGGAUACAUUGUUCAUUUGCUCACACACUAACACCAUGGUGGUGGUAAACUACCUCAGUAGUUACAGCUGCCCUGGGGCAGACUGACGGAGACACGGCUGCCUAUUCGCAGAUAGCCUCUUCGUCCACCACCAAACAUCACUCACAAUCAUACACCAGUGAAGGACACACACUGGGAGCAAAGUGGGUUAAGUGUCUUGACCAAGGACACAACAGACAGACUCAGGAUGGGGGGAAUCGAACUGCCGACCUUCCAGUUAUUGGACCAUCACUCUACCUCCUGAGCUACUGCCACCCCCUACCUUGCUCUGUGAUCCUCUAAUGUCCUGACUCAGAGCAGGGCCAGUCCUGGUGUAGGCUACAGUGCACAUGCGUUGUGCAUGUGUUUCAAAACGCUGACCUUUCCGGAGAAAGUUUAUGUAGUAUUUGUAGGUUUAUGAACAGACAACUAUUAAACAUUUAAAUAGUAUAUGUAAUAUAUGUAAUAGUAUAUAUAAAACUUACUCUUCCCCCGUAAUUCAUGUAUUACGUAAAAAAAAUUAAAAAAGAAUGUUUAACUUAACUUGUUACUCUAAUAGUUUACUGCACCAAAAAGUCACUUUUUCCAGUGUGUGAAUUAAUGGUGUCAUGUUUGUCCUACAUGGGCCUGAACCAUUUGUCACAUAGGUAAGUCUUAAAGCUUGUCAUGUAUGUACUUGAACAUGAAAAGUGUGGAUGGAUAAGCAGUGGAUGAACAACUAAUGACACAGAUUUUUAUCCCUCUGCUUGUUCAUUUCUCUUUCUCUCUGUCUCUCUCUCUCUCUUUCUCUCUCGCUCUCAUCUGUGUCCUUCGUCUCUGCUCAAAAAGAAACACAGACUUAUAAUUUAAUUAUCUAAUCGCCCUCUUUCUCUCUCACACAAAGACGAGCAUGAAUUCCCAGAACUCAGACUCUGACCUCAGCGCU